GGAUUCCCAUCAAUGGCUGUGUGAGGAGCACAUCCCAUCAAUGGCUAUCCUAGCCAAAACACAACAUAGUGGGCAUGUUCCAGGAGUUCUUCAGAGGUUAUGAUGUCACAAUUGUGCUCCAACUUUCAGAAUCUUGCCAGUGCUGAGCCUUCUUGCUUAUCUGCUCCCACUCUCCUGCCAGCUACUGAAUAGCCAAGUGAGUCUGGGUCGGGAAGAUGAAAAUGCAGUCUUUAGGUCUAUUUGAAUAUGCAAUGGAGAAAAAAAACACAAGAAAAAGGCUUCAGGAAGCAGUAGUUCUCAUCUUCCAUACUAUGGAUUUUAUCAUAUGAGGUUGACAAACCAGCAUGGUUACCUGUUGUAAAACAUUGUGUAUCCUGCUGCCAGACCUCAACCUCUCUGUGAUUCUCCUGUACCUAGCUACUGAUGAGUAAAUUCUCUGAAAACGCAUCAAUAAACUCCCAGUCCGACUCCUAUUA
Anolis carolinensis (green anole) is the source of this 476-nucleotide long non-coding RNA. RefSeq lists it as uncharacterized. The record is from RefSeq and is a predicted model, not a curated record. The transcript is spliced from 2 exons. NCBI's taxonomy places the organism in Eukaryota, Metazoa, Chordata, Lepidosauria, Squamata, Anolidae.